AGUGAACGCUGGCGGUAGGCCUAACACAUGCGAGUCGAACGGCAGCACAGUAAGAGCUUGCUCUUACGGGUGGCGAGUGGCGGACGGGUGAGGAAUACAUCGGAAUCUACUUUUUCGUGGGGGAUAACGUAGGGAAACUUACGCUAAUACCGCAUACGACCUACGGGUGAAAGCAGGGGAUCUUCGGACCUUGCGCGAUUGAAUGAGCCGAUGUCGGAUUAGCUAGUUGGCGGGGUAAAGGCCCACCAAGGCGACGAUCCGUAGCUGGUCUGAGAGGAUGAUCAGCCACACUGAAACUGAGACACGGUCCAGACUCCUACGGGAGGCAGCAGUGGGGAAUAUUGGACAAUGGGCGCAAGCCUGAUCCAGCCAUACCGCGUGGGUGAAGAAGGCCUUCGGGUUGUAAAGCCCUUUUGUUGGGAAAGAAAAGCAGCAGGUUAAUACCCCGCUGUUCUGACGGUACCCAAAGAAUAAGCACCGGCUAACUUCGUG
This 492-nucleotide ribosomal RNA is filed under the name uncultured bacterium. RNAcentral describes it as "partial 16S ribosomal RNA". It matches the Rfam family "Bacterial small subunit ribosomal RNA", at positions 29 to 507 of the family's 1533-position model. The record is from RNAcentral.